This 73-nucleotide transfer RNA is filed under the name Paralemanea sp. Its description in RNAcentral is "tRNA-Val". It matches the Rfam family "tRNA". Rfam says of the family: Transfer RNA (tRNA) molecules are approximately 80 nucleotides in length. Their secondary structure includes four short double-helical elements and three loops (D, anti-codon, and T loops). Lineage: Eukaryota; Rhodophyta; Florideophyceae; Batrachospermales; Lemaneaceae. The record is from RNAcentral.
AAGCAGUUAACUCAAUCGGUAGAGUGUUUCGUUUACAACGAAACGGUUAACGGUUCGACUCCGUUACUGCUUA